CUUCAUAAAGCAAGUGUUUAUUAAUGACCUACUACUAAAAGACAAGCACUGCAUACCGGAAUGGGGUGAUUCUGUGACUAACGCAGCUUCCAGUUUUCAAAAAAAGAGGCCAGCUACAAGUGACUACUUGCUUUGUUGUACUUACCCCAACACACUUUAUUCUCACCAAGAUGAUGGAGCUCCACAGCCCCAUGUCAGACUCC
Lontra canadensis (Northern American river otter) is the source of this 203-nucleotide long non-coding RNA. RefSeq lists it as uncharacterized. The record is from RefSeq and is a predicted model, not a curated record. The transcript has 3 exons. NCBI's taxonomy places the organism in Eukaryota, Metazoa, Chordata, Mammalia, Carnivora, Mustelidae.